Molecule: long non-coding RNA, 267 nt
Organism: Oncorhynchus gorbuscha (pink salmon)
Lineage: Eukaryota; Metazoa; Chordata; Actinopteri; Salmoniformes; Salmonidae
Exons: 3
Source: RefSeq, a predicted model, not a curated record
GCUGGUUGACUGUGUGUUUCCUCAGGUUAUCAGCAUGUCCUAAUGGCUGCAGCUGCUGGUUGGAUGCUCUCAAUGUCCUGCUGCAUCUGCUGCUGUUUCAAUCACAGAAAAAAAAAGAAGCAUGCUCAACUAAGGGAACCAGAUGAGGGCGUGACAUCAUCCAACGAGACAGGGGACAACUGAUGGACCUCUGAGACUUCAUACAUUAUGUCAAUCUACCUAUUAUUUCAACAUACUGUGUGGAUUAGUCCACAUCAAACAUAGGAU